Molecule: ribosomal RNA, 497 nt
Filed under: uncultured bacterium
Lineage: Bacteria
Description: partial 16S ribosomal RNA
Rfam family: Bacterial small subunit ribosomal RNA
Source: RNAcentral
GAUGAACGCUGGCGGCGUGCCUAAUACAUGCAAGUCGAGCGAACAGACGAGGAGCUUGCUCCUCUGACGUUAGCGGCGGACGGGUGAGUAACACGUGGAUAACCUACCUAUAAGACUGGGAUAACUUCGGGAAACCGGAGCUAAUACCGGAUAAUAUAUUGAACCGCAUGGUUCAAUAGUGAAAGACGGUUUUGCUGUCACUUAUAGAUGGAUCCGCGCCGCAUUAGCUAGUUGGUAAGGUAACGGCUUACCAAGGCAACGAUGCGUAGCCGACCUGAGAGGGUGAUCGGCCACACUGGAACUGAGACACGGUCCAGACUCCUACGGGAGGCAGCAGUAGGGAAUCUUCCGCAAUGGGCGAAAGCCUGACGGAGCAACGCCGCGUGAGUGAUGAAGGUCUUCGGAUCGUAAAACUCUGUUAUUAGGGAAGGACAAAUGUGUAAGUAACUAUGCACGUCUUGACGGUACCUAAGCAGAAAGCCACGGCUAACUACGUG